ACGAAAGUCUGACGCAGCAACGCCGCGUGAGCGAUGAAGGCUUCGGGUUGUAAAGCUCUUUUCUGGGGGAAGAGGAAGGACGGUACCCCAGGAAUAAGCCUCGGCUAACUACGUGCCAGCAGCCGCGGUAAAACGUAGGAGGCGAGCGUUAUCCGGAUUUACUGGGCGUAAAGCGCGUGCAGGCGGUCUGGUAAGUUGGAUGUGAAAUCUCCUGGCUCAACUGGGAGGGGUCAUUCAAUACUGCCAGACUUGAGGGCGGAAGAGGGGAGUGGAAUUUCCGGUGUAGUGGUGAAAUGCGUAGAUAUCGGAAGGAACACCAGUGGCGAAGGCGGCUCUCUGGUCCGUGCCUGACGCUAAGACGCGAAAGCUAGGGUAGCGAAUGGGAUUAGAAACCCCAGUAGUCCUAGCU
This 409-nucleotide ribosomal RNA is filed under the name uncultured Chloroflexota bacterium. RNAcentral's name for it is "bacterial SSU rRNA". It matches the Rfam family "Bacterial small subunit ribosomal RNA", at positions 375 to 801 of the family's 1533-position model. The record is from RNAcentral. Lineage: Bacteria; Bacillati; Chloroflexota.